GCAAAGCCCCCCUAAAGGAACAUUCCACGCAUCCAUACGGAAUAUUCCAGGCCUUCCAAGCUGGAGUCCUCCUGCAGGCAGGAGGGCCUGCAGUGUGGCCUGGUGAUCUCCAGCCACUGAGGACAACACCUCUGGGUGCCACAUCGCUGGAAGAGAAGGGCCUGGCUGGGAUGUCACUGAGAGAGACACAGACUGCAGCCGGCUUCAGCCCGAAGGAUGCCCAUGGGGCCUGCACCUGCAGAGUCCGAGAUGGGAAAUAAUCUGGAAAAACCAUUGCAUGUGUUCUGAAGAUGUUCAGCCCUUUUUGCUCCCCACUGUCAUUGUCCCCUAAUUAAA
Long non-coding RNA from Marmota flaviventris (yellow-bellied marmot), 336 nucleotides. RefSeq lists it as uncharacterized. NCBI's taxonomy places the organism in Eukaryota, Metazoa, Chordata, Mammalia, Rodentia, Sciuridae. The record is from RefSeq and is a predicted model, not a curated record.